Molecule: long non-coding RNA, 294 nt
Organism: Argentina anserina (silverweed cinquefoil)
Lineage: Eukaryota; Viridiplantae; Streptophyta; Magnoliopsida; Rosales; Rosaceae
Exons: 3
Source: RefSeq, a predicted model, not a curated record
CAAAUCUACACUCUGAUCUACGCACUCUAAUGGCGCCGGAGCCGGAAGACUUGAAGGACGAGGAGAACCCUAGACCCCUUGAUGAUGACGACAUCGCCCUCCUCAGCGCUCACUAAGAAUGUUGAGAAGGAAAACAAGGAGCUGGCUAAAAAGAUAGCUAGAUGCACGAAGAUAAUCAGUCCUAAUUAUGAAGAUGCCAAAUAUGUCAUAAACGUUAAGCAGAUUGCUAAGUUUGUAGUCGGCCUGGGCGAUAAGGUUUCCUCAACAGAUAUAGAAGAGGGCAUGCGUGUCGGG